RNAcentral lists this ribosomal RNA (837 nucleotides) under uncultured Alteromonas sp. RNAcentral describes it as "bacterial SSU rRNA". It matches the Rfam family "Bacterial small subunit ribosomal RNA", at positions 68 to 903 of the family's 1533-position model. The record is from RNAcentral. Lineage: Bacteria; Pseudomonadati; Pseudomonadota; Gammaproteobacteria; Alteromonadales; Alteromonadaceae.
GGUAACAGGAUGUGCUUGCACAUCGCUGACGAGUGGCGGACGGGUGCGUAAUGCUUGGGAACUUGCCUUUGCGAGGGGGAUAACAGUUGGAAACGACUGCUAAUACCGCAUAAUGUCUUCGGACCAAACGGGGCUUAGGCUCCGGCGCAAAGAGAGGCCCAAGUGAGAUUAGCUAGUUGGUAAGGUAACGGCUUACCAAGGCGACGAUCUCUAGCUGUUCUGAGAGGAAGAUCAGCCACACUGGGACUGAGACACGGCCCAGACUCCUACGGGAGGCAGCAGUGGGGAAUAUUGCACAAUGGGGGAAACCCUGAUGCAGCCAUGCCGCGUGUGUGAAGAAGGCCUUCGGGUUGUAAAGCACUUUCAGUUGUGAGGAAAAGUUAGUAGUUAAUACCUGCUAGCCGUGACGUUAACAACAGAAGAAGCACCGGCUAACUCCGUGCCAGCAGCCGCGGUAAUACGGAGGGUGCGAGCGUUAAUCGGAAUUACUGGGCGUAAAGCGCACGCAGGCGGUUUGUUAAGCUAGAUGUGAAAGCCCCGGGCUCAACCUGGGAUGGUCAUUUAGAACUGGCAGACUAGAGUCUUGGAGAGGGGAGUGGAAUUCCAGGUGUAGCGGUGAAAUGCGUAGAUAUCUGGAGGAACGUCAGUGGCGAAGGCGACUCCCUGGCCAAAGACUGACGCUCAUGUGCGAAAGUGUGGGUAGCGAACAGGAUUAGAUACCCUGGUAGUCCACACCGUAAACGCUGUCUACUAGCUGUGUGUGCCUUUAAGCGUGCGUAGCGAAGCUAACGCGCUAAGUAGACCGCCUGGGGAGUACGGCCGCAAGGUUAAAACUCA